RNAcentral lists this transfer RNA (71 nucleotides) under Rhopalocnemis phalloides. RNAcentral's name for it is "tRNA-Pro". Lineage: Eukaryota; Viridiplantae; Streptophyta; Magnoliopsida; Santalales; Balanophoraceae. The record is from RNAcentral.
GUCACGAAUCGAAUAAAAGGAAGUUCGCUGGGAAUGAAUCGGAAGUGCUGGUUCGAAUCCAGCUCGUGACA